This 4403-nucleotide long non-coding RNA is filed under the name Homo sapiens (human). RNAcentral describes it as "HSALNT0203963". The record is from RNAcentral. Lineage: Eukaryota; Metazoa; Chordata; Mammalia; Primates; Hominidae.
CAGAGUCUCACUCUUGUCACCCAGGCUGGAGUAUAGUGGCGCAAUCUCGGCUCACUGCAACCUCCACCUCCCGAGUUGAAGCAAUUCUACUGCCUCAGCCUCCUGAGUAGCUGGGAUUACAGAUGCCCGCCACCACGCCCAGCUAAUUUUUGUACUUUUAGUAGAGACGGGGUUUCGCCAUAUUGGCCAGGCUGGUCUCGAACUCCUGAUCUCAGUUGAAAUGGAUUCUGACUCUCCAAAUCUUGGCCCAAAUACUGAGCUGAUCUUUCCUGCCCUAAUUCCAGUAGAAUGGCACCUGACACAAUACUUUUGUGGAAGAGUACAUCACAUGAAAUGAAAACUAUAGAGAUGAACUAGAGAGACAAUGGAAUACUGUCCUUUGGCUGAGUCCUGCUGAAACCUGGUGGUGACACACAGAAGCAGGGUGAAUAUUCAAGAAAUACUGUUAAAUCACAAACUACUCAGAUGCAAACACAAGAGUGCAUGCUGGAACUGGCUUAUGAAACACAAGCCAGCUGGCUGCCCUAGAAAAAGUCUGAGGAAAAAGCCUUCUUCAUCUAAUUCAUAAAUGGGAAAUUGAAUUUCCAGGCUUAGCUGGCUUAUUUUUAUCUUCUUUUGUUUGUUUGAACUAUGUAUUGCUGAAUAACUGUGACAACAUUGAAAAGAGGGUUCAUGAGUAAAGCAAGAGUUGAUCUUUCACAAAUCAGUGCUAUAAUCAUUUCUAUGGGAGAGGCUACAGAUGAUUCCAUGCAGGGAGCACUCUGUAUGAAUGAUGUGGCCUCAGGCUAGAACACUUGAAAAGCAGCAAAGGAAAACUUUCUGCCCAACUUAUUAGAGGGGUGUGUGUGUGUGUGUGUGUGUGUAUCUCACAUGAAUAUAUUAUACAUAUGUAUAUAUAACAUAUAUAUAUAUACACACACACACCACUGGUGUUUAUUUUCACAUGCUUUUUUAUUUUUAUUUUAUUUUAUUUUUAAAAUAGAGACAGUGUCUUUCUCCGUCACCCAGGCUGGAAUGCAGUGAUGUAAUCAUGGCUCACUGAAGCCUCGAACUUGAACUCCUGGGCUCAAACGAUCCUCCUGCCUUAGCCUCUUGAGUAGCUAGGACUAUAGCCACAUCCUACUAGGUCCAACUAAUUUUAAUUAUUUUUUGUGUGUGGAGAUGGUGGGGGCGGGGUGUCUCUCUAUGUUUCCCAGGCUGGUCUUGAACUCCUGGCCUCCAGCAAUCCUUCUGCCUUGAGCUCCCAAAGUGCUGGGAUCAUAGGCAUGAGCCACCGUACCCAGCCUAGUUUCACACUUUUAUACACUCUCCCAAGUAUCACAGGGCUGGAAGCACUUUGAUUUUGGUGUAUUGGGUAUAAUUUAUGUUCUGUCAAUGAAAUGCAAUCAUGCAAUAUUCCAAAGGCAGAAUAGAGGCUCAGAGAACCCAUAUGUUAAAAAAAAUUAUUCCUUUGACAGAUAAAUAACACUUUUUCUAAUUUAUUGAUUUUGUAAAUUUGGAAUUGUGAAGAAUCUCCCCUCCCCCAAGAAAAACCUGUUUGUUCAGCAUUCCUUGCAAUGAUUGAAUCCUUUACCAGACAAACAAGAUGAAUGAAUUAUCUUUUCUUCUUUUCCUUUGGCUUACUUUUUCUGUGACAUUGUUUGAGAGACUGAGCACAGUAUUUUGAAACAGAUGACAGGGUUGUCACCUUUGAGUGGCACAAAUUUAGUAGCAACAGUAGGGCGUUUUAUGACAAUUUCUUUACAGUAUGAAAUCCAAAAGUUAUUCUCUGUGCCUUCAUGAGGAAAUGACAUUGAGUGGCAAUAUUUAAGAUGGUGAUUGGGAGGAAAGGCGAGUGUGAGAAGGGCAGCCUAAUUUUCAUGAAAUGAAACAGCCCUAGACUUGCAAAAUGAUAAUCGUAUUACUGAACAAUGUGAUGAUUCUCUCACAUGAAUUGUUCACUUCCAGGAGGCAUUCAAUCAGGCAAGCUAUCAAGAAGAUCUGGCCUUUGAUAAACACAUCCACUUUAAUAGCAGUUCCCGAGAUGAAAUGUUUGGAUUUAUGGCACCCAAUCACUGCAGCUUGAAAAUAUGAAAUAACUUGCUAGUGAACUGCCAUGAAAACCAUUACAUUAUGCUAGGGUCUUCCUUUUAGUAAGAUAUGGGAUGUUAUUAAUUGAUUAAUCUCCCUCCCUAUUCUUAAAAAUGAUUUAAGGAGGGUGGCCAUUUGCUACGAUGGAAAAGUACGGCUUCCUGGUCUGAUAUAAAAUGAGAAAUUGCCCAAGAUGAGCUCUAAGAUGUCUUCUACAUAACAUCUUCUAUGAUACAAUUUUUGGGAGUCUGUCCUUCAAAACUUCAUUACAAGGGGUCAUAUUAAGAUGAACUCUUAAUAAUAAGCCUCCUUAUGUGGGGCUCACAGAGACCUAGAUUCGUCCUAGAAUCCACUGGGAUUUGAACUGUCAUGAUUCUGAAGCUUACAUGGAUCCACAGAGUUGAUGUCAACUUAAUUCCUUGGAAAAUUAGGAGACAAAGAUUUGUUCUCUGUUCUUAUUCCUAACUUGGUGAGUUCCACUAAUGGUUGCUACCUUUCAGAGGCACAGACUUUGUAAUAACAGGGGAUGGCGCAUUACAAUUUCUAUGUUACACAAAUUCUAAAAUUAAGUUUAGUGAUUGGGAGGGAAGGUGAUUGAGAAAAGUAUACUUUUCAACUAAUGAAACAACAUUUAACUUCUGAGAAGGUACUUGUUGUAUUACUUAGCAAUGUGGAGUUUCAUCCCAGGCUGAAUAGAUUUCAAGGCAAACGGUGUCAGUUAUAAUAAUGCUGAGAAUUUUUUCUGGCCAAUGUUAUAUAAGAAAAGGUUUUAUUAAAGAAAGUUUAAGCAGCAUGAUUCAUAACAGCCAAAAAGCGGAAGCAACCCAAGUGUCCACAGCCAGAUCAAUGAAUAAACAAAAUGUGUUAUAUCCAUAAGAUGAAAUAUUUUUCAGCCUUAAAAGGAAGGAAAUUCUGACACAUGUUGAAAUGCUACAACAUGAAUGAAACUUGAAGGCAUGCAAUGUGAAACCAGACACAAAAGGACAAAUACUAUAUAAUUUCAUUGAUUUGAGGUACCUAGAAUAGUGAAAUUCAUAGAGAUAGAAAGUAGAAUGGAGGUGGCCAUGGGUUUGGGGAGUGGGGAAUGGGGAGUUAUUGUUUAAAGGCUACAGAGUUGCAGUUUGGAAAGAUGAAAAAGUUCUUCCCAAAGUUUUGGGAUGGUGGAUAGUGGUGAUGAAUGUACUAAAAGCCACAAAACCACACACUUACAAAUGGUUAAAAUGGCAAAUUAUAUAUGUUACACAUAUUUCACCACAAGUAUAAUACUAAAUUUAAAAAGAACAGAAAGAGUUUAAAAUGACUUCAACUACAUCUUCAUAUUUAUUCCUUUUCCUAAUUUAAGAGGGAAAUAAUUUCAGUUCCCCAGAGUUCUGUGUUUCUGGUAUUUUAAUGUGGAAUAAAAUGUUACCAACUCGUUUUUGCUUCUAUUAAGAUCUCGCUCUUGGUAGGCCACUGGCUUUGAGAAACAUCUUGUGUCUUUGAAUUCAGAUAAAAUAGAGUUACAGCUAAUUACAUCUUGGAUUUGUUUUACAAUUACAAAUAUAGAAGGUAGAUGAAGAAAAAUUAUGUUCCAAUCUUUGAAAACUGCCAUUUGGAAGAUUGUCUACAUGAUGGUUUACAUUAAAGGUGCAAUAUUAGCAUGGCUUUUUAUUACUAAAUAUAUUUUAAAAUAUACAUUUGGGCAUUAACUUUAAGAUACUUAUAAAAUAUUUUCUUAUUUGCUAAAGCGAAUCCCUUUGAUUUAUAAUAUACUUCUUGUCCAUUUAUAAAUAUUUAAUGAAACCUUACUCUUUUUUUUGCUUUUUAUGGUGCAUAAAAUAGAUUGAUAGUGUCUCAAAAGUUUUUUUAUUUUUCCAUUUUCUGUUAUAAAAAUAAUCAUGAAUACCUUUAUGUGUCAAAAUUUCAAGCCAAUACUACUGAAGUGAGAAUAAUUUUUCUACUUUUUAAAAGAAAAGUCACAAUCGUCUGUCAAGUGUUUUAAAAUUCAGAUUCUCAUUCAAAAAUUUGCAUGAGAUUUAUUUUAAAACAGUUUUUUUUCUUCCCAAGAUGAUAGUAAAAGAUAGGAGAGAAAAGAAAGAAAAGAUGGUAAAAGAUGAUGGUAAAAGACACGGCUUGACGCACCUACACAUACGCUGAUAGACUAUAGAGCACCUUAAUUUUUUUCCCUUUUUGAUCUCCUCACCUUUUUUUUUUUUUUUUUGAGAUAGAGUCUCACUCUGUCACCCAGGCUGGAGUACAGCAGCGCGAUCUCGGCUCACUGCAACCUCCGCUUCCCGGGUUCAAGGGAUUCUUCUGCCUCAGUCUCCUGAGUAGCUGGGACUACAGGCAUGCAC